UACGAGGGAUCCUAGCGUUGUUCGGAAUCAUUGGGCGUAAAGGGUGUGUAGGCGGCCAUGUAAGUCAGUUGUGAAAGCCCCGGGCUCAACCCGGGAAGUGCUUCUGAUACUGCUUGGCUUGAGUAUUGGAUAGGUGAGUGGAAUUCCAGGUGUAGUGGUGAAAUACGUAGAUAUCUGGAGGAACACCGGCGGCGAAGGCGGCUCACUGGCCAUAUACUGACGCUGAAACACGAAAGCGUGGGUAGCAAACAG
RNAcentral lists this ribosomal RNA (252 nucleotides) under uncultured bacterium. RNAcentral's name for it is "partial 16S ribosomal RNA". It matches the Rfam family "Bacterial small subunit ribosomal RNA", at positions 524 to 775 of the family's 1533-position model. The record is from RNAcentral.